GAUGAACGCUGGCGGCGUGCUUAACACAUGCAAGUCGAACGGAAAGGCUCCUGCUUGCUGGGGUCCUCGAGUGGCGAACGGGUGAGUAACACGUGGGUCAUCUGCCUUGCACUUCGGGAUAAGCCUGGGAAACUGGGUCUAAUACCGGAUAGGAAGAUGUUUUGCAUGGCAUUGUGGAAAAGUUUUCGGUGUGGGGUGAGCUCGCGGCCGAUUAGCUUGUUGGUGGUGUAGUGGCCUACCAAGGCGUCGACGGAUAGCCGGCCGGGGAGGGUGGACGGCCACAUUGGGACUGAGAUACGGCACAGACUCGUACGGGGGGCAGCAGUGGGGAAUAUUGCACAAUGGGCGCAAGCCUGAUGCAGCGACGCCGCGUGGGGGAUGACGGCCUUCGGGUUGGAAACUGCUUUCGCUAGGGACGAAGCGCAAGUGACGGUACCUGGAGAAGAAGCACCGGCUAACUACGUG
Molecule: ribosomal RNA, 465 nt
Filed under: uncultured bacterium
Lineage: Bacteria
Description: partial 16S ribosomal RNA
Rfam family: Bacterial small subunit ribosomal RNA
Source: RNAcentral